Molecule: long non-coding RNA, 906 nt
Filed under: Bos indicus x Bos taurus (hybrid cattle)
Lineage: Eukaryota; Metazoa; Chordata; Mammalia; Artiodactyla; Bovidae
Description: lncRNA (ENSBIXG00000009462.1)
Source: RNAcentral
GACUCUGAUGCUGGGAGGUAUUGGGAGCAGGAGGAGAAGGGGACGACAGAGGAUGAGAUGGCUGGAUGGCAUCACCAACUCAAUGGACAUGAGUUUGGUGAACUCCGGGAGUUGGUGAUGGACAGGGAGGCCUGGCAUGCUGCAAUUCAUGGGGUCGCAAAGAGUCAGACAUGACUGAGCGACUGAACUGAACUGAACAGUGAAAGAGUAGUUGUGACAGAUGUAAGUUCCUUGCAGGCAGGAGCUGAAAGCUCAGCGAAGUCUGGCUGAUUGAUUUGAAGAAAACAGCUUCAUUUGCCUCUUUAGCCAAAGGUGGUGGUAGGGACCGAACAACUACUUCAUGUUCAAUUGAGGAUGGCUUUGGCAGCAGGAGUCCGGGGUGACUCCCAGUCCUGCUCUCCCGGAUUCAGGAACCUUCGCCAGAUGGCGUGAGUCCUCCCAGUGGAGGAUCCCAAUGGCGUGAGUCGUCCCAGUGGCUCACAGAGGAUCCUGCAGACGCACCUCUGAGAACAAAGCUGUCUCCCCAGCACGCUGAUCACUGUGCCAGGACAGAGAGGAACGCUGCUUCCAGGAAGACGCAAUGGCUAAUGGUUCGGCUUUUCCUUCUCUGCCCUUUUGCUCUGCACACAUACACAGGUGACACGGACAGCACUUAGAAAAGGUGCUCAGGGGGACGUGUGCAUUUCAAGCCUCUCCUGCUGACUGCAUCCAUCACAGUGUUUCUCUACGAGCUUUGAGCCAAGGUGGAGAUUCUAAUGGAGAAUGAUGACGUGGAAACUGGACUUACUUGCAGACAGCCAUGACCUCACCCUCUUCAGCUCUUCUGGAAUUUCGGAAUGAGGUGAUUGUCUCAAUGGCAGGGUUUUACUCGGAGGAAAUCCUGCCUGCUCUCCCGACUGGCUCCAC